CCUACGGGAGGCAGCAGUGGGGAAUUUUGGACAAUGGGCGAAAGCCUGAUCCAGCAAUGCCGCGUGAGUGAAGAAGGCCUUCGAGUUGUAAAGCUCUUUUGUCAGGGAAGAAACGGUGAAAGCUAAUAUCUUUUGCUAAUGACGGUACCUGAAGAAUAAGCACCGGCUAACUACGUGCCAGCAGCCGCGGUAAUACGUAGGGUGCAAGCGUUAAUCGGAAUUACUGGGCGUAAAGCGUGCGCAGGCGGUUUUGUAAGUCUGAUGUGAAAUCCCCGGGCUCAACCUGGGAAUUGCAUUGGAGACUGCAAGGCUAGAAUCUGGCAGAGGGGGGUAGAAGUUCCACGUGUAGCAGUGAAAUGCGUAGAUAUGUGGAGGAACACCGAUGGCGAAGGCAGCCCCCUGGGUCAAGAUUGACGCUCAUGCACGAAAGCGUGGGGAGCAAACAGGAUUAGAUACCCUGGUAGUCCACGCCCUAAACGAUGUCUACUAGUUGUCGGGUCUUAAUUGACUUGGUAACGCAGCUAACGCGUGAAGUAGACCGCCUGGGGAGUACGGUCGCAAGNUUAAAACGUCAAAGGAAUUGACGG
This 587-nucleotide ribosomal RNA is filed under the name uncultured bacterium. RNAcentral describes it as "bacterial SSU rRNA". It matches the Rfam family "Bacterial small subunit ribosomal RNA", at positions 338 to 916 of the family's 1533-position model. The record is from RNAcentral.